AGACAUUGAGAUGGAUGUGGAUUCCAUGUGUGUUAAAUUUUGUGUGGAUUGCUUAAGACCAAUGAGAUGAUAAUUAGGUGAAAAUCUUAAGUAAAAGAUCGAUUUUCGAGAAUAAGUGUUUAAUGAGGGGCAUUGCACUAAUCAUUGCAUAAAAGGGAAAAAGCUGCCAUGUUGUGAAGCUACCCUAAAAGAGCCCAAUGAGGACAAUUAUAUACAUAAAAAGAGAUAGGCUAGUGCAUGAAACAGAAUACGCACAGCAAACUUGAAAAAAAAAAUAGGUGCAUGAAACAGAAAACACACUACAUGCCUUGAUUAAGUCUCAAACACUUAUUUUAGAGAAUUAGACCUUUGAUAAGGGAUUAGUAGCUUAGUUGAUUCUUGGAGGUUGAACUUGGAGGUUGAAUCAGUCAAAAUUAAAGAGAAUCCUCAUUUAUUGAUGUGUUGAGCUACAAUUAGUAAAAUCUAACCAAACUAGAGAGGGUGAGUAAUAGUAUAAAUCACACCUUGGGAAAAUAGUUAGAAAAUCAAGUUUGAGGGUGUGCAUCCCACGAGAGAAGAGAGAAAUAAAUGACCAUUGAGGGUCGGGAUGAGUCCAAUUUAAAAAAGUAUGUGAUUGAAUUGAUUAUGCACACACACACACGCUGGUCGAGCAUUGGACAAGUUAGACUAUAUUUUGGUAAGCAAACCUUAGAAGAAUUUUGAUAAGCAAUUUCAAAUCC
Molecule: long non-coding RNA, 719 nt
Filed under: Olea europaea (common olive)
Lineage: Eukaryota; Viridiplantae; Streptophyta; Magnoliopsida; Lamiales; Oleaceae
Description: long non-coding RNA (OEUR_LNC008618)
Source: RNAcentral